This 497-nucleotide ribosomal RNA is filed under the name uncultured bacterium. Its description in RNAcentral is "partial 16S ribosomal RNA". It matches the Rfam family "Bacterial small subunit ribosomal RNA", at positions 28 to 507 of the family's 1533-position model. The record is from RNAcentral.
GACGAACGCUGGCGGCGUGCCUAAUACAUGCAAGUAGAACGCUGAAGAGAGGAGCUUGCUCUUCUUGGAUGAGUUGCGAACGGGUGAGUAACGCGUAGGUAACCUGCCUUGUAGCGGGGGAUAACUAUUGGAAACGAUAGCUAAUACCGCAUAACAAUGGAUGACACAUGUCAUUUAUUUGAAAGGGGCAAUUGCUCCACUACAAGAUGGACCUGCGUUGUAUUAGCUAGUAGGUGAGGUAUCGGCUCACCUAGGCGACGAUACAUAGCCGACCUGAGAGGGUGAUCGGCCACACUGGGACUGAGACACGGCCCAGACUCCUACGGGAGGCAGCAGUAGGGAAUCUUCGGCAAUGGGGGCAACCCUGACCGAGCAACGCCGCGUGAGUGAAGAAGGUUUUCGGAUCGUAAAGCUCUGUUGUAAGUCAAGAACGAGUGUGAGAGUGGAAAGUUCACACUGUGACGGUAGCUUACCAGAAAGGGACGGCUAACUACGUG